Drosophila ananassae is the source of this 986-nucleotide long non-coding RNA. RefSeq lists it as uncharacterized. Lineage: Eukaryota; Metazoa; Arthropoda; Insecta; Diptera; Drosophilidae. The transcript has 2 exons. The record is from RefSeq and is a predicted model, not a curated record.
UUACGAUAUAUGGGUUCUUACGAUAUAAGUAAAAGGAAAAAUAUUCAUUUUGCCUAAUUCUAAGCAGAAUUUAUAAAAGUUGGGCUCCGGUCCAAGUUAGCUUUUUCUUUCUUGUUUUAUAAAAUAUUUUUAUGUUUAAAAAUAAAUAUUUUGCGAAUGAUUUUUUUUUUACUUUUUGCCAAUAUCUAUUCACACAUUGUUGAUGUUAUUAGAAUCAAAAUGUUUUUGAUGAAAUUGGCAUCCAACAAAACCCAAAUGGAAGCACGAAUUGCCACGAAUUUCAUUAGACCGAAAUAUUCCACCACAGAAGAAUUUUAAAAUUUGCUGAUUGCUCUAAAUUAAUACAAGCAAGGAAAUCUAACUUUAUUAAUAUAUAUACAGGAUUAACAAUGGAGGACAAUAUUCUAACUCAAGAAAUGAAAAGACAUGCGGUUAUCGUUGCUUUACACGCAGAGCACAGCGAUCUUGAAAUAAGCACAUUUUUGAAAGUCGCCCGAUCAUUCGUUUAUAAAGUUCGUCAAGAGUUGCAAUCAUCUGGUGGGAAUGUGAAAAGCACUGGAAAGCGUAAAAAGCACGAACAACGUUCAAAUUGUGUGAAAACACCAAAAUUUAUUGAACAAGUUCAGGAUACUGUUGACCUGGACCCUUCCAAGUCCAUGAGGGCCGUCACUUGUGGCCACCUAGCUCACCGGAUCUUAAUCCUUUGGAUUACUACGUAUGGGGCGUACUUGAAAGGGACACCAAUAAGUACCCUCACAACACGGUUGCUUCCCUUCGAACUAGUAUUGCCAAAGCAAUGCCCGAAAUGAAUAAGGAUCAUCUAAUUCGGGCAUGUAAACGUUUCCGAUCGAGAAUUGAAGCUGUAAUUGCAGCGAACGGGGGUUUUAUUGAAUAAUUGUUUAGUUUAAGUAUCAAUUAACUUGCUGUAAAAAUUUGAAUGAAUUACAAUUACUUUUGUUAAAAAUACAAACAAUUUAGUUUUAACA